GAUGAACGCUGGCGGCGUGCCUAAUACAUGCAAGUCGAGCGAACAGACGAGGAGCUUGCUCCUCUGACGUUAGCGGCGGACGGGUGAGUAACACGUGGAUAACCUACCUAUAAGACUGGGAUAACUUCGGGAAACCGGAGCUAAUACCGGAUAACAUGUUGAACCGCAUGGUUUAACAGUGAAAGACGGUCUUGCUGUCACUUAUAGAUUGAUCCGCGCCGCAUUAGCUAGUUGGUAAGGUAACGGCUUACCAAGGCAACGAUGCGUAGCCGACCUGAGAGGGUGAUCGGCCACACUGGAACUGAGGAACGGUCCAGACUCCUACGGGAGGCAGCAGUAGGGAAUCUUCCGCAAUGGGCGAAAGCCUGACGGAGCAACGCCGCGUGAGUGAAGAAGGUCUUCGGAUCGUAAAGCUCUGUUAUUAGGGAAGAACAAAUGUGUAAGUAACUAUGCACGUCUUGACGGUACCUAAUCAGAAAGCCACGGCUAACUACGUG
Molecule: ribosomal RNA, 497 nt
Filed under: uncultured bacterium
Lineage: Bacteria
Description: partial 16S ribosomal RNA
Rfam family: Bacterial small subunit ribosomal RNA
Source: RNAcentral